Capsicum annuum is the source of this 1340-nucleotide long non-coding RNA. RefSeq lists it as uncharacterized. The record is from RefSeq and is a predicted model, not a curated record. The transcript is spliced from 3 exons. Lineage: Eukaryota; Viridiplantae; Streptophyta; Magnoliopsida; Solanales; Solanaceae.
UCACAAAUCUCGCAAUAAUUCAUAGGAUUUAAUGAGUUUCACAAAAGUUGGAAGAGUAUUAUUCAUGAUCGAGAGUGAUUUUUCAGAAAACUUAUUUAAAGAACUCAAACAUGUUAAGAGUAAUCUGAAUUGAGAGGAACAAUAUAACUUGCGGAAUAUAUGAAGAGACAGUUCUAAAUACCUCUAGACAUUGAAAAACUUGAUAUCGGGAGAGGAGAUGUGGACUUAUUUUAUUGAACCAAUUCUCUUGGGAUUGUUGUAACAGCGUUUGAGAAGAGGUAAAGGGAUAUUCAGUAACAGAAUAUUGAAUAAAAUUUAUGGAGAAUGAGACAUGUGAAACUCAUGGAGAAAGAGAAGUGUGAAGGUGAUGGAGAAGGAGAUGUGUGAAACUAAUGGAGCGUAGACGUUUUUAACGUGUUAAGUUGAUGGGAAAAGGAAGAUUUUUAACGUGUGAAACUGAUGAAGGAAAAGAGUUUAAAUUGUGAUAGAUGAUUAAAAAAACAUAUGAAACUGAUAUAGAAAGGGGAUAUUUAAUCGUUUGGGAUUAAGGUUAAAAAGAAAGGACAAUACUACCCUUAGAGCGAGCUACUGCCCUUCUUUCUUCCCUUGUACUACAACGAUGAUGCAACAGAUAAAUUUUCAUCCCCAGGCUAUGAUUUACACCCUUAUACCCUCCCGAAACAUAUACGAAUCAUUCCAAGUGGAUUUCCAACAAAUUUGAAGCAUAACAAGAUCAAUUAUGCAGCCAUGACACCUCCACUUACUACUAUGACUUAAGCUUAAAAUAUGAGGUAUAAUAGUACACUAAGAAGUGUUUAGCUUACUUUUGUGAUGGUUUUUCUUAUCUUUCUUUUUUAUUUUUACCAGGAAACUUAUAAGUUUAUAAGUUAUGUUUUAGAGGUUUAAUGUUUUAGGCAAAACAUAGCUGGGAAUCUUCUUGUUGGCAGCUAUUGUUGUUUCUCCAACUAGGGGGGUAGGGCUGCUGCUUCUUGAGCUGAGGGUCUAUCUGGAACACCCUCUCUACCCCUGAGUUAGGGAUAAGGCUUAGAAGGGGCUACUGCUGAUGUGCAUUGUUAUGAUGUUUUGACAAAUAAAUGAUCUAGGUACGUCUUAAUUGUAAUAGUGACAAGCUACUUUCUAGUGCUAGUUAGAAAAUUGGCAUAAUGUUACCAGCUAAGACCUUGUUAAUUUCAUCUUCUCUUCAUGUCCCUUUUCUACUCAAGAUGCGUUGAGUUUUCUUCUUGUUGGUAGAAAAAAGCUUUGUAAUUCCAUCUAAGGAGACUUGAAAAAGUUUGGAUGUUGUGUCCCUUUCUUACAAUUCUGUUUCUUACUUCUUUUUA